Molecule: long non-coding RNA, 5232 nt
Organism: Astatotilapia calliptera (eastern happy)
Lineage: Eukaryota; Metazoa; Chordata; Actinopteri; Cichliformes; Cichlidae
Source: Ensembl
UGACCAUUUAAUGGCUUUCCUAAGCCCUUCAAUUGUUUUAUAGAUACUAAAUUCCACUGCAGAAAAGGUCAUGAAAGACGUUUUGUGCAACUUAAAUUGUGCAAUCAUCAGUUUUACAGAUACAAUAGCCGCUGGGGGGAGUUGAUUUUUCUUUAGGGGUACAGAGGACUUUUAAUUAGUGCUGUGCUGUAGUUGGCCUCCAGGAAACAAAACCAACCACGUUCUCCAAGUGCGCAAGUGUAUUCACUGAGAAUGAAUCAGCAGCAGGAGGAUACAUCCUGAGCACCAAUGCUAGCUAAAUGCUAAAUGUUAAAUGCUACCAGUGAUUUUAGCUAAACACGAGUCGGUGUUACAUGCGUUGUACCAUUAUUGUUUGAUGGUUAUCAGUGUUAAAGUGACGUCAUCGCAUUAGGAGAAUUUAGCAUGCAUGGUCAGAGGUGGAACCAGUUGGAAACAUUUGCAAAAUGUAGCAGCUAUCAUGACAAUCGCAGGCAAAUUCACUCACUCGCCAUAAGAACUGUGGAGACAGUGCACUAGAUGAAAAGUUCCCUCAUUAGUAUUUGUUGCUGGUCAUCAUCACUGGGGUACUGAACAGGCUUCAGUUCACUAGGUAGCCCUCUAUUUAUUAGCCUGACAUAUUUCAGUCAAAGGUGUCCUUCACUUUCAGGAGCUUAAAGUGGAGAAAGUUUAACCCAACCACUUUGUGUCAUGAGCAGUAAUUUUGCCCGCAUCUCUUGAAUUAGGUUUCUAGCUGAUUUUCUGUGGUCUCUGGUUGCCACGUUGCUGCAACUCACUUUGUGGAAUUCCUUUAACAGAAAGCCUUAGGACCAGCGCUAGGUUGCGCUGUAACUUCAGCAUAUUAUCUGAAUUUGAUCAAUUGGGGUUAAUAACAUUUGGAAAGACUAGAAGGCAUAUAUCUAUUUUCUUUUAUUCCAUUUCUGUGUUUAGGAAACCCACAAGAAACGUGUGAGCUAGGCUGGCAGGAGUCCUGUGCACAUGCUCUCCAUCAGCUCAACUGAUGAUUUUAAUGACAUAAAAGCAUAAAAGAUGGGUGAAUCUUCCAGGUCUCAAAAGUGAAGCCAACACGAUAGUGUCUCAAACCUGCAUUAUUUUAAUGGCCGAUAGAGGGCGACUUCUCUGGUUUCAAAAACACUUCUAGUUCAAUUGAACUCUAUGGGGAAAACAGCCGUCCACUUCUGAACUUUGCAACGCUUUCUUUUUGACUUUAUGGGCUUAAUCACUACUUUCACGUCACAUUGAAUGAAAAAUGAAGUCCAUUUUGUACUAUGUGGUCUUAGAAUGGCCAGUAUAGUCAUUCUAAUCUAAGAGACAGGAAGUAGGAUUAUCCAGUUGUGUGGGAAUUGGCCAAUAACUCAGUCACAAAUUAUGCUAGUCAGUGAGUUUGGACCAUAGGUGCAACUGAGCAACUUUCAUUCUAGUCUGACUCCUCUUAAUGUGUGCGGGGUCCAUGGUCUUUCAUAAGAGUAAAAACUAAAACCAUUAUGUUUAAAGGCACUCAGUGACAAUGUAAAUGUGCUGACGUUUAGCCAAAGUAAUUUUCACCACCUUACUUUAUCGUCUUAGCAUGCACGCAUCAAGUUUCAUGCCAGCUGUUGUACUGCAGGCUUUGCGGAAGUGCGGGAUCAACAGAAUGACAGACUGACAAACUGACACUGGCAUCUCUGGAAACAAGCCACUAGCAGUUAGGAAAAAAGUUUCUGAAUGAAGUCAGUGAAGAGGACGUGCAGUACGAGUCCCCGGGCCACCCUCAGGAGUACUCGCAGUGUUAACUGUUCACUAUGACUGCCACAGCGUCAAAAUUGAAACUGAAUUGCUUAUUUGUUCCAUUGCGUGCCACUCCCUCCACGAAAAGUGACUCUGUAUUUUUAUGUUAACAAAGCCAGCCAGUGUUGAGUCUCCCGGCUCUUUUGCUGUGCCACUCUUUCCUAUAUCUCCACUUCUUUUUUUUGUCUUUCCUGACUCGUCUGUCCUCUCCACCCUCUCCCUUGGUCAGAUCAGACUGUCCUGCAUUCCUGACAUUCCUGCUGCGUAUGUUAGAAAUUCCAUCUGGCUGCUGUGGGCUCGCAUAGUCUCCUCCACUCCUUUUUUUCCAUCGCUCUGUUCCUUACCCAUCGCCUGUCUCUCUACUCAUCUACAUCUGGACUGUCCAGGCUGAGGCUUCACUGUCAGGUUUGACCCUCCCCACCCCCUUCUCUUUAUUUCUGGCUGCAUCAUCCAAGAAAGGGAGGCAGACAGAACCGGGGGGUUUUGUCGAAGGCCUUGAGACAGGCUUAUAUACAGAUAACAAACAGCCUAAUACAAAAAGGAUUGAGUUUAUCUGGGACCGUCGAUGUGCAUUCUCUGCCACAGCAAAAUGGGAUAAGAAAAAGGAAAAACACAGUGGAGUUGAAUGGGCAGGACGUGAAAUAGAAAUGAUGGUUGUAAACAGGACGGUGUAAAUGAACCAUGUACAAACCGAGGAACUGCUGACAUUUUAACUCUUUAGGAGGUUUUCUUAUCAGACUUUAGCCCACAAUUAUGCUAAACAGAAAGAGAAGAGAAGAGAAGAGAAGAGAAGAGAAGAGAAGAGAAGAGAAGAGAAGAGAAGUUACAUGAUAUGUGGGUGGGACAUUUUGCUGAAGGUGAGGAAGAGAAAACACAAAAACAUACAGUGCAAAGUUGAGACUAGGUGAGACAGACAGAGACCUCUUACCAUGCUUUGAGCCUACUUCUUUGACCUCUACGCUCAGGGUCGAGAUAAGAUUACUUCGAUCAUGACUGUGACUUUGCUGCAGUUAUCUCCACGUUUGGAGAGACAGCGACGGGGGUUUGAAUGCUGCUACACCUCAGUGACUGAAAACGGAGGAUAAUUAAACGUUAUGCAUCUGUUGCAUAUAUCAAUUCAGGUGCAUUCCUUUGCUGUGGGUGUGGCCCUGCUUGAGAGUGUUUACUGUCCCAGAUUGUAGUCUGUAAUACAGAGUGAACAUUUCAGACUGGGAAUGGGGACAAAGACAGAGAAAGGGCGGUGGCUUUGGCAGCGCUCUUCAUAGAGCAGAGGGCCCGUUCUUACACUCUGCUGAUCUCCGUUUGCCGGACUUUAAAGGCUAUCUGACUUUAACCCUGAGAUCACCACGAAUAAGGAGUGUAGGCUGUUUUAUUUGCUAACAGGAGUGUCUGAAUGCCACUCUGAAUUCAUGACACUGCCUGGAAAUGGUAAUGUGCAGCAUGAGGCCUGUAAGCCUGUCCUCAGGCAGUCUGUGCCAUUUUGUUUUAAAGCGCUGGAUCUUUUCUUUCUUUUUUCUUUAGUGAACCUACAUAACACAUCCCUUCUUGCCCCAUCCUCCCUUUACAAGGCACGCAGUAGGAAUGAAGGGUGUAGCCCAAGUUGAGCAAGAUGGCUUCACUUCUGCAAAUGAAGGCAGCAACACAGCACAGGGGGAGGUUGCUUUUUUUCCUUUCUUUCUUUUCUUUUUUGCCUGGAUGCAAAGGAAACAACACAGAUGAGUUGCUUUUUAACGGACAUCUUGUCAUUGCCAUGUGAUUCUCACUGACAGGGCAGCUUAUGUCACACUCUGGGUUGCAAUGGCACAAAUGCAGCUCGUGACAGUCUAUUGCGCAUUCCUACCGGCACACUGAACUCUGGCUGCACAAUUAUGUAAGACAUUCUCCAUCGAUGUAACAGACACUACAGCAAGCUUUGCCCUCUAACCAUUUAUCCCAUGCAUAUUUGCACUUUGCUUUUAAGAUGUUUUAUACAAAUGAGGCAGGCUGAAGGGAAACCCUAUACAUAUACAUAUAUAUAUAUAUAUAUAUAUAUAUAUAUGAGAUGAGGAGACUGGAGGGCCUGGGCAGCAAGGCCUACAUACGCUUUGUUGCGUCAGCAGCUUAAAGAAUGUUAUCCUGCUCCUUAUAAACAUCCAGAGUUACAAAGUCGUGUUUAUAAACUCAUCUUCCACUUGAAGAAUCUUCCCAUCUGUGCCAGAUGACGGCGGGUGUCACUGCAUUUCUGAGAAAUGACUCGGCCUCGGUUAUCCUGGUUUUCACCUAUCCCCUACUUGAGCGCAGGCUUUUUCCUUGGCCUGCUAUGAACUCAGCAGAUUUUAAAAAGGCUUUGAGUGCUGACACUUUUUAAUGUGAAGUUUUAACGCAGACAUGUUGCUGUAGCCUCCAAAUCCAGCUUUUGAUUUGGAUGGAUGCGCUUUAGUUUUACACUCAUGGCAGACGUGUUAAACAUCAAUAUUAAUUUAAAAAAAAAAAAAAACAACAGCUCUGAACAUUUUCACUAAGGCUGUCUGUGUGCUUGUAGAGGCUUUUUUUGCUCUCUUCUGUAUUAAUGUAGGACUAAAGAUGACUAAUAUAAUAUUUGCACAUUUAUGCAGUAUUACAGCUGCUGGCUGUAAAUAAAUAAAAUAAAUGGAAAGCUCUUGCCCACCUAUGGAAAUUAAGUUCUUAUGGUGGGAUGGCCAAAUGUCAGAUUUCUUUUUUUUUUUUUUCUUUUUUUUUUUUUUUUAAAUGAAAUGUCAGAUUUCUAAGGUGCUCAUAAAUCCUAUGAGCUCCCCUGUGUUAGAGGGCCUGCUCUCUCUCUCUCUCUCUCUCUCUCUCGCUCUCUCUCUCUCUCUCACACACACACACACACACACACACACACACACACACACACACACACACACACACACACACACACACACACACACACAGGCCUUCACAACCAGAACUCCUAAAACAUCAAAUCCAUGCCCUCCUCAAUCUGACGACGCCGAUUCGCGGAAAACCCGCAGCAGGGGUGAAUUACACUUGAAUAAAGUAUGAGAAGGACGCAUCCCCAUUUGCCAUUUCCACGUAAACUGGGUCAUCAAGCCGCCAAAGGCUAAACCAGGCUGACAAGAGCAAGCAUUCAGCCAGCAGAAACACACACACUGAGUAAUACGCCCCACCUUGACCACCAACAGCAGCCGGGUCGCUCCUGCCCGCUCCGGCACGUCUUGAACGGUCCGGCGGAGUUCAGGCUGCCUCGCCCACUGCUCGGCGGAGUCCGCCUGGGUGUGUCGCUGUCUGUGGAAAAAAUUUGCGUCCGCGCUACGGAAACGUUUGACAGCGUUUAAGUGUGUGGAGCACACAGCAGCAGCAGCAGCGGAGAAGACAGCGCAGGACUUCAGCCCCUUUUACACAACUCCUGCCCCCCCCCACCUUCUCUCUCUUUCUGUGUCUCUCUGCCUCUCUCUCUCUCUCUUU